UUGACUCCCUUAUGAAGAGGCUACAUGGAAGCAACGAGUUUAAGAAAGAAAAUAAAUUGCAAAGGAUUAAUUAACCUACAUGAGUGACUUGGUGAUGUUGCAAGCGAAGGUGACGCAAAUGAUUCAAGAAAAUAUAGAAGAUCUUCAAUCCAGUAACCACUUCGACUCUCAAGUUCUUUUAGUUGGUCUCUAUGGAUGCCUUUCGAAUCUGCAGAAUUUGACAAGAUGGGGUGGAGCUUUGUUAGAGUUGUCUCAGUUUCAGAAUUUUCCCGAGUCAAAGAAGAUGACCCAAGCAGUUGCAGAACACCAGAAGAGACCUCGUUACAUGCUGGUACCGAGGGUAUGUGUGUGCAAUACAGACAUUACAGGGAGCAUUGCUCAGCUGUACAUACACUGUACUUGACUAUGCCCAAACCGGUUUGAUUGCAGCAGUUUUCUUCUUUAAAGUAGCCAAAGAAGGGGUACAGUUACCGCCAGACAGAACAGUUUGCCCCCUGUGCUUGCAGAAGCGCGUAAAUCCAUCUGUAAUUACGGUUUCAGGUUUCGUCUUCUGCUAUGCCUGUGUAUUCAAGUUUGUUACUCAGUAUAAGCGUUGUCCAGCAACGAUGAUGCCUGCAACAGUUGACCAGAUAAGGAGACUCUUUCAUGAUGUAUAGUCCCAGUUGGAGCUGCUAUAAACGAGUAGAUGAGUAAAACAUUCGCAAUGGUUGUUGCACUGAUCUAUGUUUAUUUUAGUGUUGGGAGAGGCAAGUAAGAAGCAUAAUGUUGUAGCUAUCUGUAGUAGUUAAUGUUGUAGCAUUGUUCAAUCUUCAACUCUUAUGAACAAACAUCUUCUAUGAUAGAGCUCAAUGUUUGUUCAUAAAUUUGUGUAAUUAAUGGGUACAUUUGUAGUAUAUGUAAUGACUUGUAAAUGUGUACAUAAAUUUGUAUAUAUUUUGAUACAUUCAAGGCAAAAUUGGUUUGAAUUGGUAUA
RNA transcript from Lathyrus oleraceus (garden pea), 973 nucleotides. It is a transcript of the gene named peroxisome biogenesis protein 12, with no coding region annotated. The record is from RefSeq and is a predicted model, not a curated record. Lineage: Eukaryota; Viridiplantae; Streptophyta; Magnoliopsida; Fabales; Fabaceae. The transcript is spliced from 6 exons.